AACCUUAUGGACCUGCGGGCGUAUACCUGCGGAGGGAUCAUUACCUAGAGUUGUAGGCUUUGCCUGCUUUCUCUUACCCAUGUCUUUUGAGUACUUACGUUUCCUCGGCGGGUCCGCCCGCCGAUUGGACAAUUUAAACCAUUUGCAGUUGCAAUCAGCGUCUGAAAAAACUUUAAUAGUUACAACUUUCAACAACGGAUCU
This 202-nucleotide unclassified non-coding RNA is filed under the name soil metagenome. Its description in RNAcentral is "partial contains 5.8S ribosomal RNA, internal transcribed spacer 2, and large subunit ribosomal RNA". The record is from RNAcentral.